AUACGGAGGGUGCAAGCGUUACUCGGAAUCACUGGGCGUAAAGGGUUCGUAGGUGGAAUUAUAAGUCUGGUGUGAAAGCCCACAGCUCAACUGUGGAACUGCACUGGAUACUGUUUUUCUUGAGUUAUAGAGGGGUUUGUGGAAUUUCUGGUGUAGAGGUGAAAUUUGUAGAGAUCAGAAAGAACACCGGUGGCGAAGGCGACAAACUGGCUAUUAACUGACACUGAGGAACGAAAGCGUGGGGAGCGAACAGGAUUAGAAACCCUAGUAGUCC
This 274-nucleotide ribosomal RNA is filed under the name uncultured bacterium. RNAcentral's name for it is "partial 16S ribosomal RNA". It matches the Rfam family "Bacterial small subunit ribosomal RNA", at positions 523 to 796 of the family's 1533-position model. The record is from RNAcentral.